This 60-nucleotide transfer RNA is filed under the name Epimeria cornigera. RNAcentral's name for it is "tRNA-Leu". The record is from RNAcentral. Lineage: Eukaryota; Metazoa; Arthropoda; Malacostraca; Amphipoda; Epimeriidae.
AUUGCCUAGGCGGAUUAGCGCGUUGGGUUUAGGACCCAAAUUAGGAUUUCCAGGCAAUUC